AAUAUUAUUAUUUUUUAUUUAUAACUACCUACUUUAAUUCUUAUUCCAUCUUACCUAAUCAAACGUUAUUUUUCUUAUUUCUAGGAAUAACCUAAUUUUCAUCCAAACACAAAAUUGAUCUAAUCCCCGCUUAUAUCUCAAUUUAUAUCUAUCCCUGAAAUAACCACUUUUUGCUUAUUUCCGAACCAAACGAUACCCUAGAGCGUAUUUCUAGGUGUCUGUAGAUAGGACUGGAUUACAUAGGAAUGGACUAUGUCAGACUACACAUUAAUUACUUGUAGUUAUUUGUAUUGUAUUGUUGACUAUUCCUUUGUUAUAUGCAUGAUUAGAAAUUUAGUUGUGCUAUUUUGAUCUAAGCCUCAAGAGGUGUUUUCUUCUUUUUUUUUUUUUCUUUUUUUUUUUCUUCUGAAGCCUUGCAUUUUUGUAGGAUUCAAAUUUGAAAUUUAGAUUUGAAUCGUUUGAAGGUACAAUAAUCGCGUCCUGAACAGAGAGAGUUUGGGUCGCGACAUUGUUGAUGUACAAGUAAUAUGUUGUUAUCCUAAUCAUUAUCGCAUCAUGAAUCGCUAUAUCACUUUCGUGUUAGUGACACGUCAGAAUUUAAGCAAUUAAAUUAAAUUGUGAAACUUAACUGUAAUAAUCUAGCCUAAAAUUAAAUAGAAAAAAAAUUAUAUGUUUAAUAUUAAAAUUAAAUAUAU
RNAcentral lists this long non-coding RNA (695 nucleotides) under Ananas comosus (pineapple). Its description in RNAcentral is "long non-coding RNA (ACOM_LNC023440)". Lineage: Eukaryota; Viridiplantae; Streptophyta; Magnoliopsida; Poales; Bromeliaceae. The record is from RNAcentral.